This 253-nucleotide ribosomal RNA is filed under the name uncultured bacterium. RNAcentral's name for it is "partial 16S ribosomal RNA". It matches the Rfam family "Bacterial small subunit ribosomal RNA", at positions 524 to 776 of the family's 1533-position model. The record is from RNAcentral.
GACAGAGGUGCCAAGCGUUAGGCGGAAUCACUGGGCUUAAAGCGUGUGUAGGCGGAUGCCUAAGUACCUUGUGAAAUCCCACGGCUCAACCGUGGAACUGCUUGGUAUACUGGGUGUCUUGAGCCAUCUAGGGGCUACCGGAACAAAUGGUGGAGCGGUGAAAUGCGUAGAUAUCGCUUGGAACGCCGAAGGUGAAAACAGGCUGCUGGGGUUGCGCCGACGCUGAGACACGAAAGCCAGGGGAGCAAACGGG